This 555-nucleotide ribosomal RNA is filed under the name bacterium BWS2C. RNAcentral's name for it is "bacterial SSU rRNA". It matches the Rfam family "Bacterial small subunit ribosomal RNA", at positions 337 to 883 of the family's 1533-position model. The record is from RNAcentral.
UCCUACGGGAGGCAGCAGUAGGGAAUCUUCCACAAUGGACGCAAGUCUGAUGGAGCAACGCCGCGUGAGUGAAGAAGGGUUUCGGCUCGUAAAGCUCUGUUGUUAAAGAAGAACGGGUCUGAGAGUAACUGUUCACGCGGUGACGGUAUUUAACCAGAAAGCCACGGCUAACUACCUGCCAGCAGCCGCGGUAAUACGUAGGUGGCAAGCGUUGUCCGGAUUUAUUGGGCGUAAAGCGAGCGCAGGCGGUUUUUUAAGUCUAAUGUGAAAGCCUUCGGCUCAACCGAAGAAGUGCAUUGGAAACUGGGAGACUUGAGUGCAGAAGAGGACAGUGGAACUCCAUGUGUAGCGGUGAAAUGCGUAGAUAUAUGGAAGAACACCAGUGGCGAAGGCGGCUGUCUGGUCUGUAACUGACCCUGAGGCUCGAAAGCAUGGGUAGCGAACAGGAUUAGAUACCCUGGUAGUCCAUACCGUAAACGAUGAUUACUAAGUGUUGGAGGGUUUCCGCCCUUCAGUGCUGCAGCUAACGCAUUAAGCAAUCCGCCUGGGGAGUAC